GGCCUAUUGGUGGUCUAGUGGUAUGAUUCUCGCUUAGGGUGCGAGAGGUCCCGGGAUUCGAUCUCCUGGCAUGGCCC
RNAcentral lists this transfer RNA (77 nucleotides) under Pythium insidiosum. RNAcentral's name for it is "tRNA-Pro". The record is from RNAcentral. Lineage: Eukaryota; Oomycota; Peronosporomycetes; Pythiales; Pythiaceae.